This 565-nucleotide ribosomal RNA is filed under the name uncultured bacterium. RNAcentral describes it as "bacterial SSU rRNA". It matches the Rfam family "Bacterial small subunit ribosomal RNA", at positions 28 to 637 of the family's 1533-position model. The record is from RNAcentral.
AACGAACGCUGGCGGCAGGCUUAACACAUGCAAGUCGAACGCGUGUAGCAAUACACGAGUGGCGCACGGGUGAGUAACGCGUGGAUAUCUGCCUUUUGGUUCGGAAUAACCCCGGGAAACUGGGGCUAAUACCGGAUGGUUCCUUCGGGAUAAAGAUUUAUCGCCAAAAGAUGAGUCCGCGUACGAUUAGCUAGUUGGUGAGGUAAUGGCUCACCAAGGCGACGAUCGUUAGCUGGUCUGAGAGGACGAUCAGCCACACUGGGACUGAGACACGGCCCAGACUCCUACGGGAGGCAGCAGUGGGGAAUAUUGGACAAUGGGGGCAACCCUGAUCCAGCCAUGCCGCGUGAGUGAUGAAGGCCUUCGGGUUGUAAAGCUCUUUUGGCGGGGACGAUGAUGACGGUACCCGCAGAAUAAGCCCCGGCUAACUUCGUGCCAGCAGCCGCGGUAAGACGAAGGGGGCUAGCGUUGUUCGGAAUUACUGGGCGUAAAGCGAGUGUAGGUGGUUGUCCAAGUUGGAUGUGAAAGCCUUGAGCUCAACUCAAGAAAUGCAUUCAGGACUGGA